RNAcentral lists this ribosomal RNA (437 nucleotides) under uncultured bacterium. Its description in RNAcentral is "partial 16S ribosomal RNA". It matches the Rfam family "Bacterial small subunit ribosomal RNA", at positions 29 to 507 of the family's 1533-position model. The record is from RNAcentral.
AGCGAACGCUGGCGGCAGGCUUAACACAUGCAAGUCGAGCGGGCACCUUUCGGGGUGUCCGCGGCGGACGGGUGAGUAACGCGUGGGAACGUGCCCUCUGGUUCGGAAUAACUCAGGGAAACUUUAGCUAAUACCGGAUACGCCCUUUUGGGGAAAGGCUUGCUGCCUGAGGAUCGGCCCGCGUCUGAUUAUCUAGUUGGUGAGGUAACGGCUCACCAAGGCGACGAUCAGUAGCUGGUCUGAGAGGAUGAUCAGCCACACUGGGACUGAGACACGGCCCAGAAUCCUACGGGAGGCAGCAGUGGGGAAUAUUGGACAAUGGGCGCAAGCCUGAUCCACCCAUGCCGCGUGAGUGAUGAAGGCCUUAGGGUUGUAAAGCUCUUUUAUCCGGGACGAUAAUGACGGUACCGGAAGAAUAAGCCCCGGCUAACUUCGUG